UUGAUGGAGGUCGACGACCGGCGCACGGGUGAGUAACGCGUAUGCAACCUACCUUUUACAGGAGGGUAGCCCAGAGAAGUUUGGAUUAAUACUCCAUAGUACUAAUGAAUCACCUGGUUUAUUAGUUAAAACUCCGGUGGUAAAAGAUGGGCAUGCGUGUCAUUAGCUAGUUGGUAAGGUAACGGCUUACCAAUGCGAAGAUGACUAGGGGUUCUGAGAGGAAGAUCCCCCACACUGGUACUGAGACACGGACCAGACUCCUACGGGAGGCAGCAGUGAGGAAGUGUGGUCAAUGGGUGAGAGCCUGAACCAGCCAUGUCGCGUGAAGGAAGACUGCCCUAUGGGUUGUAAACUUCUUUUCUGCAGGAAGAAAUCACUCUACGUGUAGGGUGUUGCCGGUACUGCAGGAAUAAGCAUCGGCUAACUCCGUGCCAGCAGCCGCGGUAAUACGGAGGAUGCAAGCGUUAUCCGGAUUUAUUGGGUUUAAAGGGUGCGUAGGCGGGCUUGUAAGUCAGUGGUGAAAUGCUGUGGCUUAACCAUAGAAUUGCCAUUGAAACUGCGAGUCUUGAGUACAGUUGAGGUGGGCGGAAUGAGUAAUGUAGCGGUGAAAUGCAUAGAUAUUACUCAGAACUCCGAUUGCGUAGGCAGGUUGCUAAACUGUAACUGACGCUGAUGCACGAAAGCGUGGGGAGCGAACAGGAUUAGAUACCCUGGUAAUCCAAGCUGUAAACGAUGAGCACUGGUUGUUGGGAAUACACAGUCAGCGAAGUGAGCGAAAGUAUUAAGUGCUCCACCUGGGGAGUACGUCGGCAACGAUGAAACUCAAAGGAAUUGACGGGGGCCCGCACAAGCGGAGGAACAUGUGGUUUAAUUCGAUGAUACGCGAGGAACCUUACCUGGGCUUAAAUGUAGAGUGCAUUGUUUGGAAACAAACAUUUUCUUCGGAACUCUUUACAAGGUGCUGCAUGGUUGUCGUCAGCUCGUGCCGUGAGGUGUCGGGUUAAGUCCCAUAACGAGCGCAACCCCUGUUGUUAGUUACCAGCACGUAAUGGUGGGGACUCUAGCAAGACUGCCGGUGUAAACCGUGAGGAAGGUGGGGAUGACGUCAAAUCAGCACGGCCCUUAUGUCCAGGGCUACACACGUGUUACAAUGGCAAGUACAAAGAGCAGCCACCUGGCGACAGGGCGCUAAUCUCAAAAGCUUGCCUCAGUUCGGAUCGAAGUCUGCAACUCGACUUCGUGAAGGUGGAUUCGCUAGUAAUCGCGCAUCACCCAUGGCGCGGUGUAUACGUUCCCGGGCCUGUACACACCGCCCGUCAAGCCAU
RNAcentral lists this ribosomal RNA (1325 nucleotides) under uncultured organism. Its description in RNAcentral is "bacterial SSU rRNA". It matches the Rfam family "Bacterial small subunit ribosomal RNA", at positions 77 to 1405 of the family's 1533-position model. The record is from RNAcentral.